This 447-nucleotide ribosomal RNA is filed under the name uncultured bacterium. RNAcentral describes it as "partial 16S ribosomal RNA". It matches the Rfam family "Bacterial small subunit ribosomal RNA", at positions 29 to 523 of the family's 1533-position model. The record is from RNAcentral.
AACGAACGCUGGCGGCAGGCUUAACACAUGCAAGUCGAGCGCACCGCAAGGGGAGCGGCAGACGGGUGAGUAACACGUGGGAACAUACCCAUCUCUGCGGAACAACUCCGGGAAACUGGAGCUAAUACCGCAUACGCCCUUCGGGGGAAAGAUUUAUCGGAGGUGGAUUGGCCCGCGUUGGAUUAGCUAGUUGGUGGGGUAAAGGCCUACCAAGGCGACGAUCCAUAGCUGGUCUGAGAGGAUGAUCAGCCACAUUGGGACUGAGACACGGCCCAAACUCCUGCGGGAGGCAGCAGUGGGGGAUAUUGGACAAUGGGCGGAAGCCUGAUCCAGCCAUGCCGCGUGAGUGAUGAAGGCCUUAGGGUUGUAAAGCUCUUUCACCGAUGAAGAUAAUGACGGUAGUCGGAGAAGAAGCCCCGGCUAACUCUGUGCCAGCCGCCGCAGUAA